RNAcentral lists this long non-coding RNA (33555 nucleotides) under Vitis vinifera (wine grape). RNAcentral's name for it is "long non-coding RNA (VVIN_LNC003674)". The record is from RNAcentral. Lineage: Eukaryota; Viridiplantae; Streptophyta; Magnoliopsida; Vitales; Vitaceae.
UUUUUUUUGUUGGGUCGGGGGGGGGGGGGGGGGGGGGGGGAGUUUUACGAUCAUUCUGGGGAUUUGGAUGAGGAAGUUCGGGCUGAUAACUCAAUGUGGUUAACAGUGUAUGAGGCUUGUAAUGAAAGGAUUACUGAACGUAAGGAACUGGGAGUAAUCAAAAGUAGUAGUGACAAAGGCAGGGGGAAGGAAGGGGUUGGUGACAUAUAUGAUGCUCAAGUUGAGAGAAGUGAGCCGGAGGGUAAAUGGGAAGAGAGUGGCUUGGUGAGGUUCAACCAGUUCCUGGGCUUCCCUACGGAGGGGCUGGAGAAGGAAAUAUUGAAUUUUUUGACCAAGAUUAGAAAAAGACGGGAGAAAAUUCAUAGCAAAGAGCUACUGGAAAAGUCUAAGUUUGAAAGGGAGCUAAAAAGACUGGAAUGUUCCAUAAACUAUGAGGGGGGGAUGAAACAGAAAGGCUCGAUAUAGGGCAAAGGGCGCCAAAUUGUGAUUGUCCAAUGAAGGUGAAAAUUUUGAGUUGGAACGUGAAGGGAGCAAAUGAUAGCUCCAAAAGAAAAGUGAGUAAGACGUUCAUAAGAAAUCAGAGGGUGGACUUAAUUUGUAUUCAGGAGACAAAAAUGCAGUUUAUGACGGAUAGCAUUGCGAGAAGUAUAGGCUUCGGAAGAUUCCUAGGUUGGAAAGCUGUGAAUGUGGAGGGAGCUUCGGGAGGAAUUUUUAUAUGCUGGGAUAGAAGGUCUUUGGAAAUCCUAGAUUGGGAGGAGGGACUGUUUACUCUAUCUUGCAGAUUCCGGAAUGUAGAAAAUGGGGUUGUCUGGGUUUUUACGGGAGUGUAUGACCCUUUCUCUAAAGUAGAAAGGGAUGCAUUAUGGGAAGAGUUUGGGGCGAUUAGAGGGCUGUGGGAAGACCCUUGGUGCAUAGGGGGGAUUUUAAUAUCACUUUGUUUUCGAGGGAAAGGAGUAGCCAGAGGAGAAUUAACUCAGCAAUGAGAAAAUUUGCUGAAACUGUGAAUGAUCUUGGGCUGGUGGAUCUUCCUCUUCAGGGGGGAGAUUUUACUUGGAAUGGGGACCAAAAUAAUCAGACUUGGGCAUGUCUGGACAAGUUCCUUGUGUCUCUUAGUUGGAUAGACCAAUUCAGUGGGAUUAAUCAGUGCAAGCUGCCCCGUCCGGUAUUCGAUCAUUUCCCAAUUAUGUUAGCGGGGGAUGGGAUAAGACGAGGCCCGACUCCAUUCAGAUUUGAAAACAUGUGGCUUAAGGCUGAGGGCUUCAUAGAGCUUGUAUGCAGCUGGUGGCAAGGAAUUAAUGUUAGGGGCAGUGCUAGUUACAAGUUGGCUACUAAGAUGAAGGAAAUCAAACAGAAGCUGAAAGUUUGGAAUAGAGAAGUCUUUGGUAAGCUAGAGUGCAACAAAUCUACAGCCUUGCAACAGGUGGAAUUCUGGGAUAGGGAGGAAAAUGAAAGAAUUUUGACUGUGGAGGAAUCAGAGCUUAAGAAAGAGGCAAAAGAAAAUUACAGAAAAUGGGUGAUUAUGGAGGAAACUCAUUGGAGACAGCUCUCAAGGGAAAUAUGGCUGAAGGAGGGGGAUAGAAACACGGGUUUCUUUCAUCGCAUGGCAAGUGCUCACCGUAGAAAUAAUUUUUUGGAGAGAAUUAAGAUCAAUGGGGAAUGGUUUCUAGAGGAGCAGGAAAUUAGGGAAGGAAUUGCUAAUGCGUUUAAAAAUUUACUCUCAGAAGAUACGGGGUGGAAGGUGGAUAUUGGGAGUCUUUAGCUUGAUCAGAUCAGCCAACAAGAGGCUGUGAUUUUGGAGAGGCCCUUUACAGAGGAUGAAAUCCAUGUGACUUUGAUGGAGAUGAAUGGGUAUAAAGCCCUUGGCCCGGAUGGCUUUACUCUGGCUUUUUGGCAAAGUUGUUGGGUGUUUAUUAAAGAGAAGAUUCUAGAAAUGUUCAAGGAAUUCUACGAACAUAGCUCUUUCCUCAAGAGCCUUAACAAUACUUUCUUGGUAUUGAUCCCCAAGAAAAGUGGGGCUGAGGACCUUGGAGAAUUUAGACCUAUUAGUCUCCUAGGGGGGCUUUACAAGUUAUUGGCUAAAGUGCUGGCUAACAGAUUGAAGAUAGUGGUUGGAAAGGUGGUCUCUACUUCUCAGAAUGCCUUUGUGAGGGGAAGACAAAUUCUUGACGCUUCCUUAAUUGCAAAUGAAGUGAUAGACUCGUGGCAGAAACGAAAAGAAAAGGGCCUUAUAUGCAAACUGGAUAUAGAAAAAGCUUAUGACAGUAUCAAUUGGAAGUUUUUGUUGAAGGUGUUGCAGAAAAUGGGUUUUGGGCCUAAGUGGGUGGGGUGGAUGUCGAGCUGCCUAUCUUCAGCUAAAUUUUCAGUGUUGGUUAAUGGAGUGCCUGCAGGCUUCUUUCCUAGCUCUAAAGUUCUUAGACAAGGAGAUCCCCUGUCUCCUUAUCUCUUUGUUAUGGGAAUGGAAGUGCUAGAUGUUCUUAUUAGGAGAGCUAUGGAGGGGGGUUUCUUAUCAAGGUGUAACAUAAGGGGUGGUAGUGAACCUCCUUUGAACAUCUCUCACUUGUUUUUUGCUAACGACACCAUUAUUUUCUGUGAGGCUAGAAAGGAUCAUCUAACUCAUUUAAGUUGGAUUUUAUUCUGGUUUAAAGCGGCGUCAGGCCUAAGGAUUAAUUUAGCCAAGAGUGUAAUCAUUCCAGUUGGAGAGGUGGUGGAGAUGGAGGAGUUGGCUGUUGAGCUAGGUUGCAAGGUGGGGUCCUUACCUUCUCAGUACUUGGGUCUUCCUUUAGGGGCUCUCAAUAGAGCGCCUUAUAUGUGGGAUGGGGUGAAAGAGAGAGUCAGGAGGAGACUAGCCCUUUGGAAAUGACAAUAUAUUUCUAAAGGGGGAAGAGUCACUUUAAUAAAAAGUACUUUGUCUAGCAUGCCAAUCUACCAAAUGUCUAUCUUCAGAAUGCCCAAGAUUGUUGCUAGAAGACUUGAGAAAGUGCAAAGGGACUUUUUGUGGGGAGGGGGAAAUAUGGAGGGGAAAACUCACUUGGUAAAUUGGGAGGUGGUAUGUACAGACAAGGAUAAAGGUGGGCUAGGCCUUAGGAAGCUAGCUAUGUUGAACAAAGCUUUACUUGGAAAGUGGAUAUGGAGGUUUGCUUGUGACAAAGAUAAUCUUUGGAAACAAGUGAUCAAGGUGAAGUAUGGGCAGGAGGACUUUGGUUGGAGGCCAAAGAAGGCUACCGGGGCGGUGGGAGUAGGGGUUUGGAAGGAGAUUUGGAAAAAAUCAGAAUGGUGUUGGGAUAACAUGACUUUCGGAGUAGGGAAGGGCAACACGAUCAGACUUUGGACAGAUGUGUGGUGUUCAGAGUCAACGCUGUCCCAUUGUUUUCCUCAUCUCUUUGGUAUGGCGGUUCAAAGGAACUCAACGGUUGAGGAAAUGUGGGAUCAAAAUUCGGGUCAAGGAAAUUGGAAUCUAAAUUUUUUGAGGGAUUUCAAUGAUUGGGAGUUGGAGUUGGUUGGGGAUUUUCUACACAUAUUGAGGGGUCUCAAACCCUCUUGGGAGGAAGAUUCAGUCCUGUGGAGGAAAGGAAGAAGUGGUCAAUUCAGGGUCAAGGAAGCUUAUAAUUUGUUGGUGAGGUCUAAUGAUACAAACUUUCCAUCAAGAAGCAUUUGGGUGGCAAGGGUGCCAACUAAAGUUGCUUUUUUCGCGUGGGAGGCGACGUGGGGGAGGGUGCUUACCUUGGAUAGACUUCAAAGAAGAGGACUACAACUUCCAAAUCGCUGCUUCCUGUGUGGUUGUGAGGAAGAAAGUGUAAAUCAUAUCCUUAUACAUUGUACAGUGGUUAGAGCUCUAUGGGAUAUAGUGUUUGGUUUAGUUGAUGUGAAAUGGGUUUUUCCAGAAACUGUAAAGGAGGUUUUAGUUAGCUGGAGGGGUCCGUUUGUGGGAAAGAAAAGGAAAAAGAUUUGGGACGCCAUUCCGUUGUGUAUUUUUUGGACGGUGUGGAAGGAGGGGAAUAGAUUAGCUUUUAGGGGGGGAGGGGUGUGUUGAACGUUCAGAAGCUAAAGAAUUUUUUUGUUUGUAAUCUGUGGAGUUGGGCCAAAUUGUAUGUAGGUGAGGAGGCGUUCUCCCUUAUAGGCUUCCUAGAGUGGAUAACUUCCACUUAAAGGGAGGUGAUUUUUUUGUUGUUGAUUUUUGAGGCCUUAGUUGCCUUGUAUACCUUGUGGCGUUGUGCCUUUUGAAUGCAUAUCCUUUACUUAUCAAAAAAAAAAAAAAAACCUCUUUACCACCAGGGAAAGAGGGAGAUAAAGACUACUCCUUUCAUCCCCAAAUGCUUGGCCAAAGCUCUGCCUAUUUUAAUCUUGCUCAUGUCUACUUCUGGGUUUUAGUAGACCAUUGCCCUAACCCAUCUCCCCACUAGCAUAGAACCUUCUCUUCUUAGCACUUUCUUAGCCAUGGCAUUCGCAUAAUAGAGCUUCACCAAAUGAAAGUCUAUUCUCUCCUUGACAAUUUUUGCUUACUAGUUUUUGCUACUUGUGUUCCCUUGAAGACCAUUGGUUGAGAUGGAAACAAAUUCAAAGACGAUAUGGAUUCUCUUAGUAUUUCUCACUCGUUGCUAUUUAAACCUUUUUAUAGAAUCACCUGAAAGGUUGUUUUUCGGUUUGUCACAAACUUUAAGCUUUUCAAGAAUUUGUCAUUAAUGUUCAUCUUUACCUCCAAAAGGUGCACUCUAGUGUUAACCUUAAAAUUUGUGACUAAAUCCUAGGAACCUGUCCAUCUCUAUAGCCUUCUUCAAAUAGUCCAAAAUCCAAUCAAUCUCUUCUUUCUCAAAUCCUAGGGUAAAGGAAGCUCCUUGAGUUUGCUUUGUGAUAGAAAUCCAUGGCCCUCCAUUCUUUCCUUCAAACCUUAACUCAAACGUCUCUAUCUCCAUUGAGUAAAUUCUUCUCUAGCUGUUGUCUUGCUUCAUUUUCUUUCUUUGUUUGUAUCUUACACUUUAGUUAAUUAAUCUCUCUCAAUUGUGACUAUCAAAAAUUGGUUUCUUGAUAUCACCUUGAGGAUAAGGUUGGAAUUUAAGAGAGAAGGAGUUGAUACACAUCUUUAAAUAUUCUUUACUGAUGUGUUCAUAGUUGUGAAAGGUGCGCCUAGGCUCCAUGUGGUGCGACACCAUGCUGCGGUGCCUCACCCGACUCCAAGCGUCGCCCCUUCACGAAGGCAUUGAUUAGGCGCACAAGGCGCUCGCUUCCGGCUAGCUAUGAUGUCCCAAACAAGUCUGCCUUCUUCCUCAUUCUUUUUUUUUUCCUUCUUUUGGUCUUCUUCUUCUUCUCUAGCGACUGAGUUGCAAAGGAGAACACGACAUUGCUAAGGGUUUUUUUUUUUUUUUUUAAUUUGCUAAGACCAAAAUGACUCGUUUUGGUCUUUUUCUUUUUAAAGAAUAGGGUUCAAAACAAUGUUGUUUUGGACCUGUUCUUGACUUCCAACCCCAAAUUUGCUUGUUUUGAAGCUGACAAAACCUAAAAAAAACCCCUAGCUUAGCCUCUGCCUCGUGUGCCUGUGAAGAAGAGAAGAAGACGAAGAAGAAAAGGAAAAAUAGAUGUACCUUGAAAUUUUGGAUAAUGUUUGAUGAUAUAUGUGUUUAUGACAAAUAAAUGAUUAUUAAAUUUGAUUAUAUUAUAUAAAAUUAUGUAUGUAAAAUAGGGCGUGCCUCACUUCACUAAAGCCCAUACCUUAGGUGCGCCUUGCGCCUUAGGCUCUAGGAGGACUUUGUGCCUUGGUGCAUUUUAAGCCUUUUAAAACCAUGGAUGUGUAAUUUUGAAUGGGUAAAAUUAGUUGUUGUUAGCGGGUUUUGUUGGGUUGUUUAGAUUCUAUAGGUAAUUUAUUUGGCGUUUGCCUACUUUUUAGGAAUAAGUUGUAGUUGCUAAUUUUAUUUAAAGCUGAUGAAUAAGAGGAGGGGGACACUCUAAUUUCCAACUUUUAUUUUUAUUUGGAUGUAUAAGGUUCCUUCAAAUGAAGUUGCUAUCUUAAUUAUAUUUUAGUUAUCUUCCCAAGAUAGGCAGAUGCAAGUAGACUAUAUUUCAAUUGGCUAUACUAAAUUCAUUCUUAGAAUUUUAAAAUAAAUAAAUAAAGGUUUUGAAUAUAGCAACAAGAAAAGAAAGAAAGAAAAAAAGAACGAAGAAAAAAUCAAUUAAAGUUUAUUUAUUUCUAAGGUUUCUCCGCAACCUACUCUUUCCUAAACAUAUGGUCAACCAUCUACAUACUUGCAUGGAAAUAACCUUAAUUAGUUGGUCAUGCUAGUGAUCAACAUUUAUUCUACUAAUUAGUGCAAAUUCUAACACUCAUUCUCAAGCUAGUUUGAAGAUAUUAUGCAUUCCUAGUUUGGUUGCAAUGAAGUUGAAUGUGACACUUGGAACUCUUGGUGAAAAUAUUGUUAGUUGUUGUUUGGCUGUCAUGAAAGGGGUACAAAUCUAACUGUUGUUGAUUUAUCCAUCUCAACAUGCUUUGUUCUAUCAUGUUGCUCUAUAUUGUGUGCAUUACUUAUUACAACUUUCUUGUUAAAGUAAAUCUUCAUAAUUUCUUUAGAAUCCAUUCUUUGUUCCUUAAGCAAGAUCCUAAUCUACAAUAAUUCACAAAUUCCUUAAGCUAUUGCUCAAAACUCAGCUUUUGCACUUGAUUUAACCAUAACAAGUUGCCUUUUACUUUUCCAGUGACUAGGUUUUCUCUCGGAAAUGUAUAGUAGCGCGAUGUUGAUUUUCUAUCUGUAAUGGACCUUUUCUUUACCAAGAGUUGACUUUAGGUAUCUCAAGAUUCUUUGAAUUGCAUCCAUGUAACAUUCUAAAGGUGAGUGCAUGAGUUUGGCUAACCAUGCUGAUAGCAUAGGCUAUAUCAUGCCUUAUUUGAAAUUGGUAGAUCAAUUUUCCAACAAGUCUUUGAUGUCUUCCUUUAACACUAAAAUUCCUUUUGUGAUUAAUGUAUUAGUAGGUUUAAUAAUCGUCUCAUUGAGUAGAUCUAGGAUAUACUUCUUUUGUGAGACGAAGAUUUCUUUACUUGAUCUGGUCGCUUAGAUCCUAAAAAAAUGUCUCAAGCUUGCUUUUUUUUUUUUUUUGUUUUAGAUUUUCCAUCUUCUCCUUAUCAUCGCUUGUGACAAUUAUAUUAUCUACAUGAAUAAUUUGUAUUGUGAUAUUCAUGUGUGUGGUAUGUUUAAUGAGCAAGGUAUGACUCCAUUGACUUUGACAAACCAACAUUUAAGUAAGGACUUGGUGAACUUCUCGAACCAUGUUCUAGGAGAUUGCUUCAACCUAUAUUGAUUUUUCCAAUCUACACACUUUCCUUUGAUUAAAAUGGUUCUCAAAUCCAGGUGGUAGGUUUAUGCAAACCUCUUCAUCCAAUUUUCCAUGUAGAAAAACAUUUUUUACAUCAAAUUAUUGUAAGGGCUAAACUAGAUUAGCUAUCUCGGUUAAUAGGACUCUAAUGGAGUUCAUCAUAGUGAUAAGGACAAAGAUUUCUUGAUAAAUAAUCCCAUAGGUCUUUGUGUGCCCCUUAGUCAGUAAUCUAGCCUUGCACCUCUCAUUUAACUCAUCCACCUUAUUUUUGAUGGUGAAAACCCACUUGCCCCCAUACUAGUCUUUUUCCUUGGGGUAAUUCAACCACUUCCUAAGUUUUAUUCUUAUGGAAUGUUCUCAUUUAAUGGCUUCCCUCCACUUUGGAUUGUUUAAAGCCUCUUUUACAUUUUUAGGAACAAAUUUUAUGGAGAAUUUAGUGGUGAAUGUCUUGUUGUUGGGGCUAGUUGAUGUAAAGAUAAAAAAUUUGAAAGGGGAUGUUUUUGUACAAGCUCUAACACAUUUCUAAUGAUAAUUGGAAUAUUCAAAUUUGUGUAAAAUAGAGGUGCAUAAAGAAGAAUGUUAGGAAUAUCUAUGUUUAGAGUUCAAGAUUGACUGCACGAGAGAGAAAUGGGAUAUUUGAUGUUGUCCUGCUUCCUCGAAUAGAUUAAAGAUCAAGUCCAUUUUCUGCUCUUUUUGCAUUAUUCCUGUCCACUGCAUUACACCGUCUGGUUUACCCUUUUUUUCCCUCAUUCUCCCUUGUGCAUCAUUAACUCUCUCUUUCACUGCAUCACUGAUCUGGUUGUUAGACAGAAAAUGAGGUGAUAAGAUCAUGUAAGGGAAGAUUAGGUGAUGGAUGGAUAGAAGAAGAAGGAAUAGGCAUGUAGAAAUGUAGGCAUUAAGGAAAAUAAAUUUUUAUUAACCUUCUUUUCUGAAUAAUACAUGAAGGAUACAAUACAAGUUUAUAUAGAGACCCCUCUAGCUAGAAAAUAGGAACUUCCCUAAAAAAUAGAGACUCCUCUAGCUAGAAAUAGGAACUUCCCUAAAAAAUGGUCUAUGAAGUCCCUUGGUUAGGAUGUCAGCCAGUUGCUGUGUAGUUAGAACAAAUGGCGUGCAUAUAAGACUGGGUUGAAGUUUUUCCUUUAUGAAAUGUCUAUCAAUCUCCACAUGUUUAGUCCUAUUAUGCUGAACUGGAUUAUGUGUAAUACUGCUUGCAACUUUAUUAUUGCAAUAAAGCUUCAAAGGGUAGAUUGUUGGUUGUCUUAACUCUUUUAGGACAUGCUUAAGCCACAUCACAAACCCCAUAUGCCAUCGCUCUAAAUUUUGCCUCCACAUUACUCUUAGCUACUAAACUUUGUUUUUUACUCCUCCAAGUAACCAAAUUUAUCCAAAUAAAUGUGCAAUGCCCUGAGGUCGAUCUCUUAUCAGCUACUGAACCAGCUUAGUCUGCAUCCAUGUGUACUUCAACUCUCCACUGCUUAUUCUUCUUAAAAAAUAGCCCUUUUUGUGGUGUAUUCUUCAAGUACCUUAAAAUUCUAUAAACUGCUUCGAGAUGCACUUCAAAAGGUGAAUGCAUAUAUUGACUUACCAUACUAACUACAAAGGCAAUAUCCAGUCAAGUGUGAGAUAAGUAAUAUUGGAAGAUUAUUAAGAUCAUUAAGAGACUCUACAUGUUUAAUAUUGGAAGAAGAAUAUGGUUUAGAUGGAGGCUUACCUUUCUCAAGGGGUGUGAUUAUAUCUGUUCUUGGGACAGAUUCAUGGCCUUACUAUAAAGUAGGUUCCUCCAUCCUUUUUGAAUAUGGUCUUGAGUAGACAUGACGCUCUUGAUUGUUUUUACUUGUAUUUUCAAUGAAUUCAGUAUUUUUAUGAUCCUGAUCAUGUGCUGACAUUAAGGUAGACUGUCCAAAUUUUCAAUAGCUAAAUCAUUUGUUCCCAAAGUUUGUCUACUACCUACAGACUCAUCAAACAUCGGUGGCUGUUUUUUUUGUUUUUUCUAGACAUUUUUCUUGGAAUUUUCAUGGAGUUUCUGAUUGCUGUUGAACUAACGGUGGCUGUAACAGUGGCUGGUCUAACUCAAACAACACAAUAGGAAUGAAAUCUACUCUUUUAUUCUCCCCUUGAGGAUGAUCAUGACUAAAGUAGGAUUUAGUUUCAAAAAAGGUGACAUCCAUUGUUACAAACAUUCUUUUAGUACAGGGAUCAAAGUAUUUAUACCCUUUUAGUGUUGAAGAAUAUCCAACAAAUAUGUAUUUGAAUGCUUUAGGAUCAAAUUUUCCACAGUUAUGAUUAUGGACAUGAAUGAAUGUAAUGCAAUAAAAAAUUUUCAAAGGUAAAUUCAUUGAAAUCUGUGAAGUAGGAAAACACAUGUUGAAAAAAUCAAUAGCAGUUUGAUAUUUUAAAACCUUGUUGGGCAUCCUAUUAAAAUAGCUUUGCCUUAAAGAUAUUUAGGAACUUUUGUUGAAAAGGUGAAUGAUCUAGCAACUUCUAAAAGAUGUCUAUUCUUUCUUUCUACCACUUCAUUUUGUUGAGGUGUAUCAACACAAGAACUUUCAUGUAUUAUGCCAUUUUCUGGAAAGUAGUUUUCUAACAAUUGAUUGGAGUAUUCCGUUCCAUUAUUAGUUUUAAAAUUUUGAAUAUUUGUUUAAAAUUGUGUUUUGACUGUUUUGUGAAAAGUUUUAAACAAUUAUGCUACUUUUGAUUUUUCUUUUAGCAAAUACGCCUAAGAAGGUCCCUAAACACCACUAUGUAUUACAAAAAAAGGUUUAGAGGCUUUAUAGGGUUGUGAAGGAAAAAAUGCAUGAUGAUGCUUUGCAAGUUCACAAAUUUCACAAUGGAAUGAAGAUGAAUCUUUAUUAAUAAACAACUUUGAAAAUAGAUGUUUCAAAUAUUGAAAAUUGGGAUGUCCUAACCUAAAAUGCCUUAACACUAUUUCAUUCUCACUAGAUAUUAAAACAAGUUCAAAACAAGUACUUUGGGCUUGUCUACCUAGUUUGAUUCCAUCUUCAAAGAAAUAAAGUCCUUCAUAGCAUUGCCAAUCAUCUUCCCUGAGUUCAAAUCCUAGACUUCACAUUGAGAUGAGAAAAAAUUAGCUUGAUAGUUUAAAUCAAAGGUUAAUUUACUAAUAAACAAUAAAUUUCAAGACAAAUUAGGAACAUGAAGGACAUUAUGGAGUGUAGGAAGUGAGGGAAUUUUGAUAGAUCAUUUUCCAACAAUAGUUGAAAGUGAUCCAUCUGCUAUUUUUAUUUGUUUGUUUCCUGCACAGGGACUAUAAGAAGAAAACAGAUUUGAAGAACUGGUCCUAUGAUCGGUUGCACUAGAAUCUAUGAUCCAUGGGCAAUUUGAAUCAAGGCUAAUAAGGGGUGUGGCAAGAUGAUUACCUUUUUGGGCUAAGGAACAAGAAAAGGAUCGACUUAAAGAGACCCGAGAUUGAAGAAGUUUGUACAAAUGCUCUAUUUGAUCCUUCGUAAAAGGAGAUGUUUCUAAGGACGGUUGUAGCCCUUGUUCAUCGCUUUCAACUUGGUAGGCACGACUCUCCCUGCCAUGUUUCUUCCUUUAGUUUGAUGGUUUUCUGUGAAUCUUCUAGAAGGUGUCACGAGUAUGCUAGGGUUUGUUACAGUGGUCAUACCAUGGUUUAUCAUCCUUUUUAGAAUUCCUUUUUUCUCCUUGAUCAAAUCCCUUUGUAACAAAGGCAAAACUAUCAAAUUUUGUUUUAGUCCUUGGUGACUCAAGGUUCAUCGUAACAAAUCUUCUAGCCUUCUCUCUUCUAACUUUAGAAAAACUUCUUGAAGAGAUGGAAAUCGUUUUCUCCCCAAGAUUUGACCUCUCACUUCAUCAAGGGAUUUUUUUGAUAAAGAUCCUAUGCUCUAAUACCAUGUAGGCUUUGAGGAAAAUAAAUUUUUAUUAAUCCUAUUUUCUGUAUAAUUCACGAAGGAUACAAUACAAGUUUAUAUAGAGACUCCUCGAGCUAGAAAAUAGGAACUUACCUAAAAAAUAGAGACUCCUCUGGCCAUAAAAUAGGAACUUACCUAAAAAAUAGAACAAGAAACUAACUAAAAAAAAUCCUAACUAAAUUUGAAUUUAAAAAUAAAUAUCACAACUCAUCCUUUUUCCUAAAAAUAACAACAAUAUUCCUAGAUUCUCGACAAGAAAUAUUCUUAUAUACUAAAUUUCUUCUCCUAAAGAUUAGUCUUAGAAUAGUAUGGUUGUUCUUGAAAAAAGCACACAUCCAUGGUGAGAAAUCUUUGUUUUGUAGGAGUAUAAAAGCAUUUGUAUUCCUUUUGAGUGGGAGAGUAUCAUAGGAAUAUACAUCUAAUAACACUUGCAUCAAGUUUUGUUCUUUCCCUAUAAGAAUUGCAUCUCCUUAAUAUACUUUAGGAACAUUAUGAGAGAACAUUAAAGCCUUGGCCACUUCCAAAAAAAGUCUAUUUUUCUCUUAGCCGCCCAUUUGUUAGGGUAUACCAACACAUAUAAUUAGGUGUGUGAUCCCAUUUUAAGAAAAGAUGAACUUAGGGUACCAUUUAGAUAUUCUCUCCAUUAUUAGACUUUAAAACUUGUAGUUUAGCAUAGUUUGGAUCAUUCUAUGGAAAUUUAGGGAGGUAGGGACAAUCUCAAAUUUAUCUUUGAGGAGAUAAAUUCAAGUAUCACAAGCACAAUCAUCGAUAAAACUAAUAAAACCAUUUGAAGUUACCUAAAAUUUAGGGUGGUAGGGACAAUCUCAAAUUUUGGAUGAGCAAGAUAGUUAUAAGGAGUACGAUGUCCAAAUCAGUGGGUUGUAGGAAUUGUAUUGUAUGCUGAUAUGGUACGUAAGCUGAGUAAGGAGUUCAUAUACAAGUUACCUAAAACAAAAGGUUCACCCACUUUUGAUGUUGACGUCGGUGUUGGUGUGGUUGGUUGCUUUCACUUGGUCAAAGAAGGCCAUGAAGAUGAUUGGAGAACAACUUUAAAGACAAAGAAAGGUCUCUUUAAGUGUACAAGAUUGACAGAGUUGAAAUUUUUGCAAGUCACAUGAUGGACAACUCACAAUUCUACAUUUUACAUGUAAAAUUUAUAUCAAGCAGAGUACUUUAUUGUUUGUAAUCAAUCCAUUCACAUGGGAAGAAAAAGAACAAAAUGGUGGAAGAGUUUGCUUUGGAUUUCUAUACAUCGAGGAAGUCAAUGAAACUCGAUGUUGAGUUUCUUCCUAGUUAGAGGGAAUGGUGAAGAAUUAACCCCCAGGGUUUAUUCACAACAAAAGAAAGACAUUGGUAGUUUGGUUUCAUUGUUUUAUUUAGUCUUUUUGUUAUAGUAGGAUUGAUAUUUAAUAGUUUACUUUUGUUAAGCUUUUUAUUUUAUUUUAGGUAGUGGCUGACUUUUUUGUUAAGUUUCUAUUCCUUUUAUUCUUCUUAUUAGCAUUAGGAAUGUUUCUAUUUCUUUUAAUUAGUGAAUAAUAUUCCUUUCCUAUUUUUGCAAGAAAUAUAAGAAAUUAGGAAAGUUAUCCUAUCAAGGAAGAGAGUCAUAAGAGUCUAUAUAUACCUUUGUAGUCUUUCGAAGUAAAGAGGAGAAUUUUAAUAAAAUUUCAGCAUCUAUUAUGCUUUCCUUUGAAGGUGUGACUACCUUCUUCCUAAGUGUGAUUUGCCUUGGAACCUUUUUGUGAUUGUCAAAGACUAUAUAUGUAUGUAUUCCUUUUUGUUGAUUGGUUGGGUUCUUGUUGAGGUUGUAUUAGCCCCUUCUGUUGGGUUGUUCUUUUUCCCCUUUAUGCCAUUUUGGCGGUGGUUGUAUAUGUAUUGUAUACCUUGAGUCAAUCUUUUGGUGCCUCUUCUUAUAUCUUCCUUUUUAUCUAAAAAAAAAAAAUUCCUUUUUAUAUUUUUCUGUCAUCUUUUAUUCUUUUCACCUCAUUCUAUAACUUAAGAAAUCGUAUAUUGCUUGAAAUUUUAAGAUUGUGCAAUAUGUUUGCUUGAAAUUAUAGGAUCUCAUUAUAUCAUCUCAGCCCCUUUUUAACUGCAACUUUGCACUUUUUGACAUUAGAUAUGAUUUUAUUUCAGACAAAAUCAGGCCUUCUGAUGUAGGUCUUGAACAGGAGGCACAAUGUGCACGGGUAUGGUCAGGUCCCAUGCAUCAGUGUAAUGGCAGCCAUCCAUCACUACCACCAAUCAAAUACCUGCAUUUACAUGAGUGUGACAGCUUUUCUGUAAGUAUUUGACUCUAGGUUUUCCAUUGUUAAUAGAAUUCAAUAUUUUACACCUGGUUUUCUGAACUUAGGUUAUGUUUGGUUCUAAAAACUAUGAGGUAAAGGAAAAGGAAGGGAAGAAAAAGGAAAGAAAGUGCAAGUUUAAGUCCGAUACAUUUUCCUGCAUCUUUCCCCUGCUCUAUUGACCUUUCCCUUGCUGUUUCCUCGUCCAGACAGGCCCUUAAUGUUCUGAAACUUGAAAGCUAGAUAACAGAGACUCACUGGUUUUUGAAUUUUCUUGCAGAUAGGAGUCUUUUGCAUGCCACCUUCCUCUAUUAUACCCCUUCAUAAUCAUCCUGGAAUGACUGUGUUGAGCAAGCUUCUAUAUGGUUCAUUAUAUGUAAAAUCAUAUGAUUGGCUUGAUUUUCCUGCAGCUGCUGAUCCAUCACAAGGUGUGCUUUUUUUAGCAUAUCAUAUCUCCCACUUUGAUUAUGACAAAUGGUGCUUUGAUGCUUUGAAAUGACACUCAGAACUAUGCUCUUGUUCCUUCAAAAUCAAGUAAUGCCCUGAUUCUGGAAUUUUUAUUUUUCAAGUAGGAUGUUUAUUGUUGUUGCGAAGUGAAAUUGUUUACAUGAUUGUAGGGACCUUCCUUCCUAUGUAGUGUUUGUAGGGUGUUUUAGGCUUUUGGAUUUUCUUUGUUCUUUGUUUUGUUCUUUUCUUCCUACUUAGCUUGGAAUAUGGCCUAUUCUUCAUCAUACCCUCUCUUUAUGUUAAUAAAACAUUUGUUUCCUAUCAAAGAAAAAGAUGCCAAACCACUGUAGCAGGGAUGUUCAUUCCACUGCAGUGAGUUGCUGUUAAUGCUACCAUAGCAGUGUACUGAAUGAGGAUUUUGCAUCCUUUUGUGAGUCCUUAUUAUGAACUCAAAACUAGAGGUUAUGAUUUUUUAAUUCAAGGGAUCUGAUAGAUUAUUUUGUGUUUAGUGUUCAGUGGUUUAUAAAAGCUUUGUACUCGAGUUAUUAGUUAUUUAUUUAUCUCUUUAGGUCCCAGAGGAAUUCCACUAAUUUAAUGAAUGAUCAAGGAGUAUUUUUAUCUUCAAACUGUGAAUGGAUUUGUUGAAUUUUGUUGGAAAAUUUGAUAGAAGCCUUUUAAGAUUGGGCAGCUACUCUGGUGAGGUUUAUUGAUAGGCAUGACAUGAUGAAUGAAACGAGUUUGAUUUGCUAUUAUGAACCUUACUCAUCUUGCUUAGAUUUCAUGGACGGUUGUAUGGAAUGUAUUUGAGAUGCAGGAUAAACUCUUAUUAUUAGUUUUAAAGCAAUGAAAUUAUGGAUAAAACAGAUGUAUUACAGUGACUCAGGAUGAGCUUUUUGGUUAGCAAACAACUCUUAGAUAAGGAAGCACUACAGUUGUUGCGUACAUGAACAAGGUUUAAGGAUGUAUGAAUUCUAGGUAGGGGUGUUGAUGAUCCAAGCCAAACUCUCCUCCAACCUAAGUCAGGAUUGCAAGUGUCGCUAAAUGGUAACACAUGUCUUCAAUUUUGACGAGUUGUUUCAAUUGGCUUUUGUGAUUGAGAAGAAUAUGAAGUAGAAUCUUACUAGACUGUUCUCAAGUCUGCUAGAUAAACCCGAAAAAUUUCAAUAAGGUUUGUAGAGGCUUUUAUCCUCCUCAGUGCAUGGUAACCUCCAUGCAGGCUUUAAACCUCAUUCAAUGGAUGACAUCAACACCUAAUGGAUUUUUGAAGGGAAAAGAGGGAUGGCCUUUGCAAGUGUUGAGAGGACCAUAUGCAUGUUAGUACUAAACCACUGGGGGUACCUGAUUUAGACAAUGAUAAUUUGUAGUGAAUAUCUAAGUGUGUGCUCUUUGAUGUUGAUGUUGUCUAAAAUUGGGAGGUAGAUGCCACUCUUCUCUCUGUUUUAAGUUCUAAUACAUGACAGGUGAAAAAAAUAAAAAUAAAUAUGUUUGUAUUGAGAUGAUGAUUUUUGAUGUUAUGUCCUAGCCUUACUGAUAUCUUUUGGGAGAUCUUUUAAAUGGUAACUUGUCCUUUUUUGACAAUGUGCCAGUCCAACAAAAAGCAUGUCACCAAUUCCAGGCUAAAAUUUAUCUUUGACAUAAUUUUUUCUUUGUUAUAGGCUAAUUUUUCUUUGGUUAGUUUCUUAUGCAUAUUUUUUUAGAUUAAGCUUGAUUUUUAAUAUUAAGAUUGAGAUAAUUAAGCUUGAUCAUGCUUGAUUUUUCUAAAGCUUGUAGGUUCCCAAAGUUUGUCUAUUUUGUUGUCUUGGAUAGAUCACCUAUGAGGGGGGCAAUGUGAUAGGCAUUGCUUAGAAUUUGAACAUAAUGGAUAGGUAGAGAUGUAUUUCUAAGCUUCUAGGUGAGUUUUUAGCACCUUGACAUGGUUGCACAACACCAAGGCUUCAUGUGGUGGCACCUUGCACCCAUUAAGUGCCUAUGACAUGUGGGGAGACAUGUCAUGCACGAGGCAAGGUGAUGAAUGAGGCUAAGGAUCAUGUCAAGGCUUGGUAGUGGCAGCACACAGGUGUGCACAAGCAAGGCACCAUGUGGGUGGCUUGACCUAACAAAAAUUCAAGUGCGGGAUUUUUUAUGAUGGAAAAUUUUCCUUUAAAGAGGAUGCCUUGAGUUAGGGUUUCCAAGUGACAAAAUGAUUUUUCAGAUUUUCUAUUUUUUUAGAAAAUUCAUUAUGCUUGGUCAAACAGCUAUGAUAUCUCCUCCUAACACUCUGGGAAUGACUUAAAACGUUCAAGGAGGGGGGUGGCCCACUAAAGGGUGGUGAUGGUGACAAAUUAUGCCACAUCAAGAGCAUGACAUGAGGGCAAACAUGAGCAAGGAUUGAUGGUGAGCCUUGCUAGCUUGCAUGCAUGAGCGCAAUGCCAUGUGUGGUGCAACCCUUGGGCCUUAAUAGGGGGUUGCGGUUAUGGUGCAUGGCAUGAGGAUGCGUGCUUCGGUUGGAAGGAUCUAUGUGGUUAGCAGACACAUGGACGAUGAGCUAAGAAGAGGACUUAGCACCAAGGCAAGGUUGCAUAAGCAUGUGGGCCAAGAGAGGGCUCAAUACACAUGGACUGCCUAGAAACACAAGUAACAGGUUGGGUGGCACAUAAGGCCACCUAGACACAUAAAUGGCAUAAAUGGGCUUGAUGUUCGUGGGCUCAACAAGACGCAUGGGUUGGCACUAAGCAUGACACCUGUAGCGCACCUUGGCAUUGAGGCAAGCCCAAGUAAGACGAGGAAUGGGAGAUUGACAACUGAUAGGCUGAGAUGUGCUAGACACUUGACAUGAGCCAAACAAAUCUUUGCAACACAAGAGGCAUGUGGCAAGCAAAGGUGCAAGCAAGCAACUAAGUCCGUAUGAUAGAGGCAUGACAAGAGUGGGUUGUUGAGUUUGGGAACAGGUGGCAAAGUUAGAGGCAAGCAACACAUGCAACUAGACAUGUGGCAAAUGACUGAAGCCUUAGGAUAGGCUGAAGCAUUUGAAUUCAAAAGAGUCAAUCUCCUAGAUGAGGGGGAGUUGGUUGGCUGAUGGAUGCCUCUAUAAAUCGUGUGCCUACUAGUCAUUCUCUGCAUCAACUCACCAAAGAGAUUGUGGGAAUCUUGUUAAAAGAACCAGGGUUGUUCCUUGUAAAUUCUGUGGAGUAAUAUACAAGUUAGAGUGUUACUCUGUAAUCUUGUGUGGGCUGUGUGAUUUUCCUUGUUGCAUCUCGUGCAGGUCUGGUUAGAGAAGGUUGGCUUAAAGGGUUUUUAAGAUCCACACAACGUGAAAAAGUAGUGGGGAAAUUUUGUAGUUGUGACAUUAACCAAGUAAUUUAAAUGAAAGAUUCAAAGCUUAUGAAAAGGUCUAGACCAGCCAUGAUUGAUGAUACACGGUUGGAUGGUGAAAAAGCAUAUAUGAAAAUGAGUGGAACUGAAAUAAGUUGUUGAGCUGGAUGAGUAACAAGUUCAAAGUUCAUAGAAUGGGAAAUUAAUGCAAUUGUUUGAACCUGAAACACCACUUUUCAGUGACAGAUGAAGAAAAGUUGAUGAGAUGGACGGUUAUUUAAAAUGGACACGUUCCAUUAAGUACUAAGGUGCAAGUUGAAAGCUCGGAAUGGAUACUGUGUUGAGGAGAUAUUUGUUAUCUAUUAUUUUCUUGGUACUUUGUGAAUUUCACUUAACAAUAGUCAUGACCUUCAAUAGGUAGAAAUGGGAGAUUGGACUGAUCUUAGAGGGUUGGAACAUGACUUACUCUGGACCAUGUUGUAUCAUAGUUUAAUGUUGAUUAUAUUUAGUUGGUUUUCACUUGUGGGAUUGACAGCAAAUAUUACAAUUGAAACUGCAUUUUGGUUUUCGUUUUUAUGGCUUAAUUGGCUGUUAAUUUUUUUACUGAAAUGUCUGUAUUUUGCUCUGUUACUUGUUUUAUCUUCUUUUUACUAAGGUUUGAUUGUUAUAUGUGCAGCAAGACCGGCAGAGCUUGUUAGGGAUACUGAGAUGACAGCGCCUUGUGGGACAACAAUCCUUUAUCCAUCGUCUGGGGGCAACAUCCACACUUUUGAAGCUGUAACUCCCUGUGCUAUCUUAGACAUCCUGUCUCCACCUUACUCUUCAGAGAAUGGGCGUCAUUGCACUUAUUUCCGGAAUUCUCCAAGAAAGGAUCUACCCGGUAAAAGAAUUUAUUUUCUAUUAACCUGGUUCAUUAGCAUUUAUUUUUUACAUUUCCUCUCUGAAACAAAAGGAUUUGCCUUUUGAUUGUUCCUCUCAACUACUAACUCUUUUUUAUUUGUGUUUAAAUGAAGGCGAACUUCAGUUGAAUGGAAUGACCGUUUCUGACGUGACUUGGUUAGAAGAGUUUCAACCCCCUGACAACUUUGUGAUUAGGAGGGGGCAGUACAGGGGACCCGUCAUCAGACGUUGAGAAUUCUUGUUUUGGGUGUGCCGUACAUUUGAAUGAAUUAGGAUUUUCCAUAUUAGGAAACAUUGGGGGGAAGCUCUGGUAUAUGGGUUGUCAAUAGCCUUGGCAAUAAUUAAUCUUAUUGGCUAUAUAAGUUUAGGUAUUUGGAAUGUACAUAUUUAUAUACCAUUAUAGUACUUCCAUUCACUGACCUCACCUUUAACUAGUGGAACAGUCACCGGAAUUUGUGAGAACUUGUGUCUGAUAAAGUUCUUAUGGGGAAUUUUUCUCCCAUUGCAAUAGGCAGAUGCAAUCUUUUUGUCGCCCUAGUUAAGCAGCUGGGUGUAGAACUACUUUCUAGUCCUUAAAUCAUCUUGCGUUGCUCAAGCUCAGCUUUGUUUAACAGGUGAAAACCAAAGCUCAAUUUGUCACCUUCAGUUUUUUCUGUCUCUUAUGUUUUGGAGAAGUCAGACCGAUGAUUGGCCUGACUAAAUAACUAAUAUGUUAAAGAUCUGCGCUGUGAUCUAUAUCAAUGCCAAUUAGUAAUUGAUAUAUCUUCACAGAGCUCGGGUUUUGACACUUUCGAGGCCAUGGCUAAGGAGCUAACUGAUGUGUUUGAGCUCCAAGUAUCUAUGCACAGAAAGCUACCUUGGUUAUCAGCAAGAAUUAAUUGCCCUGUAAUUUAAUCUGAUGCUGAAGUAAAAAUUUGGGAUUGUUACAUAAAUGUCCUGGACCAAUUGCUAGUGGGAAAGAUUGCAAACUCCCCAAUCUUUAGAAUAAAAAGAAUGGAUUUAAGUUGUUUCUUAAUACAGGUUGAGGUUUUAUAUGGUAUGUUGUUAAUGAUUGUUGUCAUGACAUCAUGUGAAUCCAUUAACCUCAAUGCCAAAUAGAGGUUUAGAGAUUUAGGAUUGUGUGUGCUUAUUUCUUGGCAAGGGUUUAGGGUUGAUAUGGGAUGUAUCAUUCUUCCAAAUAGGAUCACUAAAUUAGGCAUUUGCCUCAUAUUUACAUGAGUAUUUCAAAGAUUAAGAAUGAAUUCAUAUAGAUCAGAACGUUCCAAUAGCAAUUCUAAAAUAAAUGAUAAAAUCAAUAUAAAUGGACUAAAAGAAAUUGAUCAAAACCAGUAAUGGUAAAAAGAAGAAUCAUACUCAAAUUAGCUGAAAAUGAAGGAAAACAACAAACAAGAAGCAGCAACAGAUGAGUAAAACCAUACCAAGUUGGUUGAAGGCAAAGAUUGAUGAAGAGCAUUUGAAUGCAUCACCCUACCAAGUGAACCAGAAAGAGCCAAACUUUGAUCCAAAUAAUGAUGUGGGACUUUGGGUUUUAAUAGAAGGGCAAUGGGUUUAAGUUGCAGACCAGAAACAGUGGUAGCCCAUGACCUAAAAUUACAGUGGGCUGUGUUACAGGAGGUUCAUGGCACUCACACGUUCACAUCAUUCUUUUUUCUCUUCUUGUUUUUGUUGUUAGUGCAAAAAGUAAUAGCUGAGUUGACCAAAUUUGAGAUGUGAUUGGUGGGAUUCUCAGCUAAAGACACUUGAAACCUACCAUUGGAGCAAUGAGCAUUAGUGAAUUACUUCCCAGAUAAUUAUGAGAAGCAGUGGAUUAUAAAUACUGUCAAGUUGAACGUGGAGUGCUGAGCCAUACCGCGGCUCACCUGGUUUUCAUGCUGCAACUUGGAAUUAUCAAAAUGGAAAAUACAAAGUGGUAGUUAUCUUGAUGGGAGGGUGUAGUUGAAUGAAGUUUGGUGUGACCCAGCAUCUAAGCUUACCCUAGGCCACCACUGGCCAAUCAUGGGUUUCAGUGGCUAGCUAGCCAUGUGGUUGAAUUCUCACCCGUGAGUCUGAUUGGUUGAUGGCAUUGUCCACAGAAUAUCCAGGCUCAAUGAACCAGCAUCUUGUUGUGGGAACCUAACACAAGAAUGUGCUUGUGUCACUGCUCAUGAGAAUUUCUUUAGUCUCAUCCACCACUUCAAACUCAAAUUUUUUAGAACGUUCUAAAAACUGUUUUGUUAGUUACAAAACCCGUUUUCUAAGUUAGAAAACUGGUUUAAUAAAUUACUUAUAAAAGCAGUUGUUUUAGCAUUUGUAUUUUGAAAUAUUUUUAGUUAUUUUUUAUAGAGUUUUUUAAAAAAAAAUUUUAAUAAUAAUUUAAAAAAUAGAUAAUAUUUUGAAAGCUUUUGUAUUGGACAUCAGUGUACAAUACUCUAUGGAGAAUAAGCUGAGAAAUUCCUUUUUAUAUGUAUAUUAGAGUUUUCAAACAUAAUUUUAUUCAUUAAAAAUAGUAGAUAAAUAUUUUCCAAAACGGUUCUAAAAAAAUAUUUUGAAAAUGUUUUCAAACAAAUUCUUAAUUUCUAACUGUCUUUUCUUUUGCUAUUUGGAAGUAGGUUUUUAUUCAUGAAAUAUGAAAAUUAAGAAAUGUUAAACAAAACUAUAUAUAUUAGGGAGUUUGUUCAAGAAAAAUUUGUUUGAUUGAGCAUUUCAAUGUUUGAAGACAUAAUUAACUUACACUAGAACAAAAUUAUAGAUAGUGGUCUUCUACACCACUUUUUGGGCUUCAAAGUUCACCAUGUUCUACAGCACAAGAAACUACACCCAUGGUAUGGUGGGCUGCUGCGUACAUCCUCUUGACUGGUAUUUAGUUUAUAACUUUCCACGUGAUGAUUUCAGCCCAUUGUGCAUGACCAGCCCAGAGGCAGAUGGACAGUCAAGAGUCAAGAGUACUCCAAGAGAGAGAGGCAGUGGGCAGUGGCCACAAGGAAAAGAGAAUUUUUUGAGAACGUAAAUUUGAUUAUAAAAGGGUUUAAAGUUUAAGCUAAAACCCAGAAGAGGAUAAACAUUAAUGAGCACACUUCUCAGUUGAAACAAGCCAAUUCACUUCUUUUGGUGCUAGUUUCCAUGCUACUUCUUGACUGAUUCUUACCCUAAGAUUCAUCUCCCUCCUUCCGCAAAACAUGGGCAUGUGAUCUACAACACAUACAUACAAACACACACACAGAUCGGAUACAUUGCCUAUGUUCGCGGCGACACUUUAGCCAACACCAAGCCAUUCACACCUAGAUUCUUUGCAUUAUAGCCUUUUUAUAUGGAGUUUAUGAAGAAAGAGAUCAGUAUGAUUAUUCUCCAAGUCCAAAACCAGAUGGGUGUGUAAGCUUCCCUCAUUCUAUUUUACUUGCUUUUGAGAUCUCUCUCAUCUUAAUUUUUAUGCUUUGGGAAUAUUUGGCCAUUUAUUGCAUGUGUUAGCAUUUUGGUUUUUUAAAUAUUGUAGCUAGGAGUUAGGUUUGGAGGUGUUUAUAUUAAUAAAACACCUAGAAUAAUGCUAGGUUUUCAAUUAGAGUCUGCCACAUUGUACAAAUAACUUUAAUUUUUACAAAAAUAAAAAAUAAAAAAUUAUGAUUCUUUUAAUGAAGACUUUAUAAACUUAAUUGUUUUAAUUUCCAAGUGCCUGAUAACCCUAAGGCUAUAUGGCAUUGAUGUGAUUAAAGGGUGGGUAGGAGUUGAUCAUCCUUUCAUGAAUUCAAACUUGGAUAGUAAUUGGGUUGGGUAUAUUAUGUCAAUGGAAGUCUGCUUCAUCUCUGCAGGUUUGGCUAGCAAAGACUUGCAAGCUCAAAAAAGGAGUUGGCACUGAUCAAAGACUAGUACUCUUAUAGACUAAUUGGUUUAUCAGCAUCGAUUGAUUGGUUCAUUAGAAGGUCAAGUACAUUCUAUGAUGAUAACAUCUAUAUGAACAACAUACUGUAUGUGCACAAAAAUCAGAUUAGAUUAAACAAGUUCUAAGAUCUGAUUUAUCUACCAUUUUCAAUUUGGACCUCCAAGGCCUCGUUAUCGGUAUCGCAGAACCCAAGUGGCUAAAAACAAAUGUGUAUAAUAAACUAUCCAUGGUUUUUGGUAGAACGACAUAGCCUCGGUCUCCAUCCUGCUUCUGUAAUUGAGAAAGUAUGAUGGAUGAAGAACGUCAUCAUUUCUUGCAACUUUCAUGGGCCCUCUAUGUAUGAAUUAUAUUAUUCUUUCAUUGUUUUAUCUUUUUAGUUUAUUAAUCUUGGUGACAAGGGAUCAUAACUUGCUAGAAAUGGCUACUGAUCUUGUUCUUGAAGCUUCACUAUGACACGUAUAUAUACCUAGUUUUACAUUAUAGAACCCUAUGAUAGAUACAAGCUGAAUCGACAAUGCAUGACACUGAAGCAUGGUGAUUAUGAGAAAUAAUAUUAAUGCUUGUAUGUACAGACCUAGUUAUUGAGUUUUAAUUUCUAUCUCUUUAUUUUUCUUCACAUAUAAUUUAGAUUCAUUAUAGAUUGUCACCGAAAUGAAAAUAUAUAGAUGAAAUUUGCAACUUAGUGGUGGUUUGAUAAACUAAUUUAAUAACUUAAAAUGAUUUAAUAAUUUAAUUCAAGUCAUUAAAUAAAUUAAGGUAGUAUUUGUUUUUUUGCUUUUUUGUUUAAAGUAGUUUGUUUUCAAAAUUUAGGUAGUUUGUUUUUCUAUUUUUUUAUGACUUAUUAUAAACUUUUUAAUAAAUAGAAAAAACUAAAAUAUGUAGUUUUUUUUAAUUAAAUAGAAAAAAUAACAUAUUGGAUUUUUUUACUUUUUAAUACUUAAUAGAAAUAAAAUACUACAAAAAUAAACAAUCUAAUAUUUAACCACUAUUAAGGAUUAAAGUUCUAUUUAGAAUUAAGUAAAAAAACAAGCACCAUCUAAGUAUGUUUAGUAAAAUGAUAACUUAAAGUUAAAAAUAAUUUUAAGUUAUAAGUAAAAACGAUUAAUCCAUUUUUAAGUCUACAUAUUUAUUUUACCUUCAUUUAUCUUAAUUAUUUUCAUGAUCUCCUUUGUUUUUUCAUAACCUUCACUGUUACUCAAUCUUUUAUACCCUAAUUAUAAUUUAUGAGGAUAAAUAUGUUAAUUUAAAAUUUUAAAAUAUGUUUUAAGUUAAUUUGAUCAAACAAACUUAAUACUUAAAGUAAAAUUAAAUAAUAAAUUUUAAGUUAACAACUUAAAUUAUUAAGUAAUAAAUGUUAAGUUUUAUCAUACAUCCCUUACUAUAUCUCUAAAUUUUUGGGUUGAGUGAAGUGAAAAUAGGACAAAUUUCAUGUAACUCAAAAAAUUAGAAGUGGUUUAUGAAAUUCUUCUUGGCGUAGGUUUUGGUCAUAGAUUAUUGGAAUUGGAAACCUUUUGCAAGUGGGUUCGGGGGAGUUUCUAUACAGAUUUACAGAGAAAGUAGUGGAUGGAAAAUGAGGCAAAUUCAUCCAUGAAAUUUAGGGCUUGAUGCAGUAGCUAAGACAUACAACUUUGCUAAUGAAACUUCCUCAUCUGGCGUAUUAGAGCGCAUUGGUGUAUAUUCCACCAAAGAUUCUCCGUUUGGUUUGCCGAUGCAAUAGAAUAAUGAAAAUGUCAACUCCCCAUGCAGGAGAAGACAAAACAUAAAUGGGUUAAUCGGUGAUUAGGGAAAGAUGAACAAUUCCUUAAUUAUUUUCUUAACUACACAAAACCCGAUUAACCCGAUUGAUUAAUUUCCUCACCUCUCCUGCAUAGCCUUUACCAUUCAAACUCUUACUUUAAUCCUUCGAAUAUUUGUCUUCAUUGCCUUAUUGGAAUCCAUGAAUCUUUCUCUGUCUCUCUCUCACACACACACAUCUUCACACAUAAAAAUGUAUUCACACAUACCUAUAGUCAUAUUAAUAAAUGUCACACAUAUCUAGUCAGGUUUCGAGUGUCUUUUAGCUAAACCUAAUCCCUUCAAUGAUUCCAAUAGUGACCUCUUCUCUUUCCAAAGACUAAAUAAACAAUCUCUGUCGUGUGAGGACAAAAUUUUCAAAUUCUACCUAAAAUGCCUUGGAAAGUAAAUCCUUGGACAGUAGGUAGGAAAAUAGAGAAAAAAGACAACAUAAGGGUAUAACUAAUUAAUGCUUUAUGGGAGACAACAGUUCUCUCUUACCUAUCAUCUAUCAUUCUUUCACUUUUUCCCCUUCUAUAACUUGUACUGUCUCCUUCAAUUUCUAGACCAAGUGUUGGGUGCCUCAACAUUACCAGCUGCUAGCAUUUUUUAUUUUGCAAAUUAGAUCUUUGGAAUAGGGUGAUUCCAUACUAAUUUUUGGUUUAUUAAUGAAUAUAUUUUCAUUAAUUUACAAAAAAGAGCAAGAUUGUUUGUAUUCCCUUUUAUGAACUUUCUGAAUGUCUUAAUUCAAAAACUCUAUUUUAUUACUUGGCAUGUACUUUAAGCAGUGUAAAGGACUGGAAGCUCAUGAGUGGAGUGCAAACAUUUAGGAAUACCCUUUUCUUUGAUCAUUCAAGUAAUCAGGAGAAACACACAUAAAAAGGUAGAAAAUGUUUGUUGAUUCUCUUUCCAAGGAGCUCCAUCUAUUACCAAGAAGUAUGACUAGCUAAGUAUGAGCUUGCAUACCACAAAACAUAUACCUAUUUUUAAAUAUUGGAGUAUGAUCACAAUGACUGUGAUGUGGGUCUCACUCAAUAAUUUAUCUAGUGAGGAAAAGGUUUAUAUACAUAUACUAAAAUCAUUAUCAUUUGCUGGGAGAAAGUUCACCGUCUUGUAUUUAUUUAUUUAUUUUCUGUAAAUGAGCUUAAUUAGUUAAAAAAUAAUAUCAUGAAGGGUUGUAUUAUGAUCUUCUAAUAAUUCACUAUUUCUUUUUGUAAUUACGUAUAAACUGGUUCUUGAAUUCAUCAACACUUCUCUUAUAAGAAUCCCAAUAGAAAAAAUGCCAACAGAUAUUUUUCUAAAGGUUGAUUGAUGUUGACACGUGAACUAAGAUUCUAGGUAGCAGAAGGCUAGUUUCUUGGCUAAUAUGGGGUUUCAUAUAUAUACCAGUUCUCAUUAAUUUUCAGCUACUCAGAAUCCAUUCUCUAAACAUCUUAGCUUCCAGUUAUUUUGUGCUCAACAAAGGAAACUUUACAUAUAUGUAUGUUAGUUUAUAUAUCCAUAUAGAAGGAUGACAUGGUUCUAAAAACUUAAUAACUAGGCAAUAAAUCUUGGGUGGAUGAUCAACAAUCUGAGGUUUCAAAAACAUAUAGUUUUUAUUCAACCUUUGUUAUUUGCCAAUUUAUCCCUAAAUAAGUUUUAGGUAGGUAUUGUGCUCCGUGUGACAAGGAAUCUUUCAUAUUAAUUAUAUGACUAGAUAGAUAAUAUAUAUGCAUAUAUAAUCCCCUAGUAGAAUUGCCCAGCUAGCUGUGACGUAGCAAUGCUUAUAGGGAAACCUAAGACAUAAAUUUAAUCACAUCACUUAAAAAAAUCACAGUAAUUUAUUUAGUCCCUAAAUCAAUACUUAGUUUUCAAAGAGGUCUUGAGAACUGGUUGUCUUUGGCACCUUUUAUAUUGAAUUGUGCUUUGCUAGAUUAGAAAAUUAAUCAGGCUAGCUAUAAGUAGCCUUUACCAUCCAGAUAUCAUUUCCACAUCCAGAGAUUCGGAAUACAGUUCUUUGUGAGCUGUGCUGGCGAACACUUGGUCUGAAGCCAAAGCAUGAUUUCUGGUUAUAUAUGGAUUAUUAAUUAGAACCACUAGCAACAGUUAAUUUCAAUCAUUGAUCAACUAAAAAAUUCUACACUAAGCUGAAUCUUUAAAUUAGAAACCAUACACUUCUUUUUUCCUUUUAACUUGGAAAAGAUAGGUAGGUAAUACAUGAUCAGCUAUUGUUUUUAAUGUACUUUAGCUCUACAUACUUAACUGAUAAAACUCAUAAAAGAAUAUGUGAUAGUUCCUUGGGGAGACGUGGUUGAGUCUUAGCUUGCCUAAGACCUUAACUUGUGUCAUCACAUUUGGUCUCAUCAGACAUGACUCGAGGUGAGAAACCAUGAAUGAAAUUCUUUCUUCUCAUCUGCAGAUGUAUGCUACUGAGUCAUGUUAACUCUUACUGCAUCCAUGAUUGAUUUGUUAUUUGUUUUAUAUGUUUGUAAUCAGAUUUAGGGUUAUUGCCCUAAAACCUCACAAUUUUUUUUUUUUAAUAAAGCUGGAAGCAUUGUGUGCAUGUUUUUACCCACCAAAUUCAGACUAUUUUACAGUUAACAUAGGCUAAUUUGGCUGGCCCAGCACCAUGGAUAAUAAUAAGAUCUAUUCAAAGGGUUUCAAAUUUCCAGAUCAGAACAAUGAAUCAAAGUGGUGGGAAUAUAAACAACAUAAACUAAAGCCAUAGGGAACAACAAUAAGAACAAAGGGACAGAGAAAUAGUGUUAAAAUAUAGGAAGAAAGUCAUCUCUUGAAAUGGUUGAGCAAUACAACAAAGAGAGCAGUCCCUAGCAGAGGUCAACCAUGAAGAUUAUCACGGAUGAGAGAGAGAGAGAGAGAGGGAUGGACAAGCUGUCAAAGAAGACCAAAACGAGAAAGGCUCGAGAAGUCACAUGAUUUUCAACAGUUCAAGAGAGUGGUGGUGGCAUCUUAACUCGUAGUAUUAGUAUUGUUAUCCUAGUGUAAAAAGGACAAAGUGGAAUUGUCCGACCAAUGUCUUCCCUUUCUAAUAUAGUAAUUGAAGUCUUUAAGAAAUCUGAAGUAUGACUAAUGGCAUGAAGCUUAAUUUCAACAGAUUCCUAGCCAGAAAAUAAAAUAACUCCCCAGAGUUCAAUGCAGCCAAAUCAUCUCAAUGCAUAACACAAGAGUACCAUGCAGUAGAUCUCUCCCUCUCUCCUCUCUCUCUCUCUCUCUCUCUGUCUUAAGAUUUGAUCUAUUCUUCGUUUACUGAGUUGUUUUUGGUCAAUCAACAUAUCCAUCAAUUGAUACACCAGCGUGUCUCAUGUUGGUAAGUUCAUAUGAAUCAUCCUUUGAUCUACUUUUCAGAUGCAUGCUUUGGAUUUAUUUAUCAAAAAACUUCUUUUCUGUUGGUAGGGAAGCUGGUUACUUCAUGAUCCAUCGAUCUUAUUUGAAUCCAAUACAAAGUGUUCUCAAAAUAUAGGAAAUUUGAUACACUUACUGAUUCUGCCGCUACUUUUCAUCUGAGCAGUCCAAAUCGUGGAAGAAAGAAAGAAUGAAGCUCCAUCAUCAAUGGUUUGUACUCAAGAGAAAAGAUUAAAUCCUCUGUGCAUCCAAGUCAUUAAUUUCUUCAGGAAGCUUAGACCCUAAGGUUUUAUGUUGUAUCAAAUUUCAGGAUUUUAGAAGUUCCAUAAAUCAUUCCCUUUUCAAUCUUUGGCCACUUUUUCUUUUUCUUCCUCCCCACCUAAUUUUAAACAGUUUCUUAUCAUUUCCAGAAAAGAUGUAUCAUUUUCCUUUUGCAUUCAACAAGAAGUUGAUCAUCCAAAAUUUUCUAUUGCCAAUUCAUAUAACCAAGCUUACUAAUAGUAAGUGCUAUUUUGUAGCUAAAUAUUGCUAUUCAAUUGCUAUAAAAGCUCAAACCUGAAUUUCAGUUGAUGAUUCAAUAUAUUCCUCUUUAUAUCUGUUGAUUUUUUUUUUUUCUGGAAUUUUCCAGGUCAUCUGCAUUUCGCAUCAUUCAUUGUGUUGUUUUUAACAUUUCUGAAGUAUUACCACCUAUCUCUUAGUUUUGCAAAGCAUGAACUACCAUGAAAUGAAUUAAGAAGGCAAACAAAAAUAGAGUUCUUGACACCUUCUAAGGCCAUCAUCAUGCUGGAAAAUUUCUUCCCCACCUGGGCACAAAAAUAAAAUUGUGAUUCUGUGCAAAUUGAUGAAGAUGUUUAAAGGGUUUCUAGUGACACAUGUACAUACUGCUGCCGUAAAUUUUUUUCUCUUUAGAAGAACACACAUACUUAUGAAGGCAUUUUCAUGAAAUAAAUGCAUGGUGAAUUUGUUAGAGUUAGCAGUUGAUCAUUUGAUAUUACAUAUAUAUGCACAUUAGUUAAGCAUACAUUACUUCAGGGAUAAUAUCUUGGAGGUUUGUACUUGGGAAAAAUCAUUUUGAUAACAUGAUAUUCAUGUGUCAAAAGAGGCUUCAACAUGAAAUAGGAAGGAGUUUCCAUUGUUUUUUAAUUUUUUUUUUCCUUUGUCUUUGAAGUACAAUAUAAUGCCAUUGAAGGGAGCCUAGUAGGCUAGUACUAUGGAAAAUACAUGAACCAAUACUGUUCUAGCCUUCUAGGAAACUUAGAAUGCCAUUUUGUUCACUCCACAUUUUUUUUCUUGCUUUCAUUUUUAUUACUAAUAUUUGGAGGAAAAUUCUUAGAUUAAUUACUGCUCUUAAUUUUUCCCUUCACCACAUUAAUAUUUCUAUAGACAUUCAUAAAAUCGAGAAAUUAAAAUUUACAUUCAUUUAAUUACCAUUAUUCACUUAUUUAUAAGUAAUGCAAGAAUAAUUAGGUAACUAGAAAUUCAGGCAUAUUAGUUGAGUUUGAUCUCAAAACUCUCCUUUUUACAUUGAUGGGUUGCAUGAUGUAUUCCUUCUAAUGCAUCCUAUACAUUCAGUUUGUUUGCAUUUUUUUUAAUACAUUCAUUUAUAACAAUGAAUAAGAACAUUCAUAUUUGGAGUCAAGAACACAUCAUUUUGAUCAAUUAAUUCAUUUGGAAUGCAACCGAAGAUCUCUUUGGAAAUUUUACAUAUGCAUGAUCAUUUAAGUAAAAUUUGUCAGAAAUUAUUAAUUCCUCCUAUCCUCAUCAUUCUAAUGCAUUUGUUUUCUUCUUGCCUCAAAAUGUUAUCUAUCUUAAUUAUGCUAUACUUCUCAUCUGCCUAGCUAAUGCAAAUCAAUGAUUCAAAAUCUAACAGCACACAAGACUGUCCUCAACAGCCAAGUAGCUACCAGGAAGUCUAGAAGUUCAAGGCUGCGGGGAACUGCUAAAGAGAUAGAAUACUAUUAGCCAUGGCUGAGAGAAUAGAGAUUUCUGAUGAUAAUAGGAGUGAUGGAAGUGAAAUUCAAACCAAAACCUCAUCUCUAUUAUGUUUUCCAGGGCAUUUGUCCUUUGACUUGAAUCAAAAGGCCAUGGAUGAAGAGGAUAGUAGCACCACUGGUGUUCCUGAAAAUGAAGUUAAAGAGGACGAGACAUCAACAGAUGCUAAUUACAGUAACAGUAGUAACAACACAACUGUAGAAGGGAAAGAACGAACAACAGUUAGGCAAUAUAUUCGAUCAAAAAUGCCUAGGCUCCGUUGGACUCCUGAUCUCCAUCUUGCUUUUGUGAAUGCUGUUGAAAGGCUUGGUGGGCAAGAAAGUAAGUUUUCUUUGGGUGCAGACUUCUGAGUGUAUUUCCAUUUCAUCGUUCAGAAAUAUCAAUUGGAAUAGGGAAGAGAAGAAAGUUAUUGCUCUAUCAUCUUUGUGGAAUUGUUUUCCCAAAGAUUUUUCCAUCCCACACAAAUAACUGAAAGAAAACUAUUUUCUUAAUGUAUCAUCCCUUUUUUUACUUUGAUUUUGUUUGAAUAAAUGCAGGAGCAACUCCCAAAUUAGUUCUUCAGUUGAUGAAUGUGAGAGGACUUAGCAUAGCUCAUGUAAAGAGUCACUUGCAGGUAAUGAAAAUGACCCAAGUUGGUUAGGUUAACUCUGUCAACAUUUAUAUCAGAGCGACUAGUCCCAUUAUUUUUAACCAUUAAUAUUUUUGCCUUUGUCCAUUUUCCUGAAUUUAUGCAUGGUGAUCUUCAAAUUCAGAUGUAUCGAAGCAAGAAGCUUGAUGAUUCUGGACAAGGUAAAAUUUCAGUGCCCUUUUAGCAGUUCAACACUAUAUCUUCGGUUUAUAAGGUCUGUUAGUAUACAAUUUAAAGACAGGUUGACAAGUUGAUGAAACAAACUAGCCAAAACCACUGAUCAACAAAGUAUGACAUCUAAACUACAGGGCUUUGAUCACAUGAAUAGCUUUCACGCUAUUCAGCUGUAUCUAGCGUCUGGAUUGCAUCUUCAGCUUGAAUUGGCCUAUUUAUGGAUAUAAUAGGUCAUUAUUUGAACAUGACUUUCAAAACAAGAGUAAAGAGAAAAUGCUAAAAUUAACCAAAAGACAGUUUUCAUGUUAGAUUAGAGUUCGCUCAUUAUUUGAAGAAAGUAAUAGUAUCAGAUUCAUGAGCUCUUGCUGGUUUAUGAGCUGAUCACUAUUUUUCUGUUUUCCCUUAUUUAUUUGUUUAUUUAUUAUUAUUUUUAAUUUGUGCAUCUUUUGUACAGUUCUAUCUCACACGAGUAGACCGAUGUAUGUAAGAGAUCACAUUCUGGAGAUGUACCAAAGAGCCAGUCCUUACGGACACUUUAGAAUGGAGAACAGGAGCCACUUCUUUUCUCCUGUAUUGAGACAGAAGUUUGACCCCAAAGCUAGCUCUUCAAGGUCACUAAAUUACAACUCCAGUGAUGAGAAACCCAAAAGAACUUGUUUGGCAAAUGUUUUAGACAUAUUCCUAACUGAUGAUCUCUGUCCUUUUUCUCUCAUAUUAUAGAAACCAACAGUGGGCUUUCGAUCAUGAUGUGAGGCAAACAAGUUCGCUAUGGAGGAAGGAUUCUGAACUUGAUCUGAUGAGUACGGAUUGGAACAAGGACCGGUCAACAAACUCACACCUGUUUGAUGUAAGGGAUGGGGGAACAGGAAUUGUGCCGAUUCAUACUAGCCGAUUUCUUGAAGAGAAGAAGUGGCCUCCACGGGAGUUGAUCGAAAAUCAAGGGAAGGGUAGAAAUAAUUCUCAAAAUAUAUGUUGGGAUGGUUCCUAUUCUGAACUUCUAUUAAACCAAAUGCAUCCGAAGCCAAUUUCAUUUGGUGGCAAUAACUAUGCCAUGCAGCCUUCUAUUUGGAGUACCAAUCCCAGCAUCAUCAACAAACAACUUCAAUCCAACAGAUGUAAUCCCUUGUUCUUAUCAAAUAGCUUUGAACCUGAGUUUGAAUCCCCAUUUCGAGUCGAGGUAUUUAACAUAGAUCACUCUUUUCCAUAUGCUUAUAUCUGAAAUUGGUUAAUUGAACUGACUUGAUCUAACCCUUUUAAAAUGCAGCUCCACAGGUUACAAGAAAAACAACCCCAGAGCAUAAAUGAAAUGGUAUUGCAAGCAGAAGAAAGUGCCUUUGUAGACAGGUUUAAAGAGAAGAAACAGCUACCUGAUUUACAGUUAAGUUUGAGCCACAACUUUGAAAUUGGUAAUGAAGUGAAUAUUAAUCCUCGGGAAAGCACCAAAGAGAUCAGCACAAUGCUUUCUCUUUCUAUGGCCAACUCUUCGUCGAGAAAACAAGCACAAUCUAGUGAAAACAGAAGAGAUUUGGAAGUUAAAAUUUGGGAUAGUUACAAACAAGUGGUACCAAGGCCACAGGGCUGAGUACUUAUUAGGAUCUGACCAUGUAAAAUUGAGCAUAGAAGUGAGAUCUUUUAAGUACUUGUCUUAAAGGCCAAACUGGACAAUUAGUUUUGCUGCUCACAAUAAGGUAUCCCCAGUUGUUUCUCUCAGGUUAAAACUGGAUGAUAGUUGCAAGCUAGCAUUUUUUUUCUUUUUUUUUCAAUCUUAAAUAUUUAGUUCCUCAAUUUCAUCAUAUGGUUUUGCUGAAAUUAAUUAACAUAAAAGUUCAAAAUAAUAUAUACUGAAUGAAUUAACUGCAAUGCGGAGUAUUUGCCUACAUGUACUAAAGCUGUAAAUCAAGCUUGUCACUACAAAAAUGCAGCCUUUUGAGAUCUUUGCAAAUGGUUCAUUGCUUAGAUGGUGAGUCAGUUAAUAAGGAUGCUUUCUCAGGCAAAAUGAAUUUGUUGUCUUUCAUGGGUGCCAAGAUAUAUGACAAGAAACAAGCUCUCUUGCACUUUCACUUUCCAACUACUGAUUGCUAGUAUGGAAAUCUCACUUUGAAUAUAUACAGUCGUGUGGGUGUAUGUUUAUUAUGUGAAAUCCUUCAAUCAGUAAGAUUAGCAACUAUACACAUUCCUCCAAUUUUCCCUGCAAUGUCCAUUGUCCAGUCUGUGGGAUCAGUGUGAGCUAGCUAGCCCAUGCAUUAAAAGGCAAUUCCUUUACUGUGGAUAAUAAGUUGAAGAACAGAGCUAGGUUUCCCAACAGGUUAAAUACUGAAACGCAUAUUGGAAUAUUUAGAAUAGAUAGGUGUACAAAUGUCCUCAACUUUGUAAGUUUACAUCCCAUGCAUGUCACCAUGUAUAUCAGAAAAUAAACAACUUUUCCAAGUUAACAAAAUAGUACUUAACUUUGAUUACUGGAAAAAAUUAAGGUUUGGAUCCUUUCAAAUAACAUGUCUAAGGAUCAUGUGGACUAGCUAUUAGGAUUGCCAGAAAAAGAAAUGGUACUGAAUACUAAUAUUAGCUCAUAUAAAUCAGAACUCAGUUUCUUCAAAAAAAAAAUUUAUGAACAAGACCAGUUUCUUAGUUGGGGGAUCCUGAUAAUGUAAGGCUGGCUAGCUAGCUCUGCUGGGGCAUAAUGCUGCAUCAGCCUCACAUUGAAUCCGGAUAAUUUGGGUUGUGUCUUGACUGAGGCUCUUAAUUUAUAUGAAUUGUCUAAGGUGCUCUUUAGCACCUGAAGAAGUAUGAGUAGCAGUUCCUAUAACAUAGAUAUAUUAAUCUUAAUUCCAUGGUGUUUUAACUUUUUGUUAAACAAACUUAGUAGUCAAAACUCCAUAGGGAAGUACCUUGUAGAGAAAGGCUCAGAAUCAAACCAAGUUUGUUCUCUCUGCCCAGGAAUAUAUACAUGCUAUCCCCACCAACUGAUUGUGAUAUACAUUGAGUGGUAUGUCAUAUAAUUUAUGUUAAACAUCUGAGACAUCUACACUUUUCCCAUUUGAAAAAAGCAAUGAGCAACUAUAUAUUGAAAAAUGUCACAUAGUUAUAGAGAAAGACAUCGAGUUCAUAGCAGAAGCAUUUGAAAACACAAAUACAUUUCUUCUGUCUAACAAAAUCUGGGAUAUGCUAUGCUGAGCAUCUGGAAAGAGUUUCACAAUUUGAGAAAUUCUUUUAUAUACCAAUUAGAAACCUAUGCGCAUGAGUAUGAGAAAGGGGAAAAAGACAGUACUUCAUUAUAACUUAUAUUUUGUCCUCAACGAGUCCCUUUAAUUACUUCAUUAUAGCUUAUAGUUGUGCUCAACGAGCCCAGCCCCAAGAGGAGUUAAGUAGAAGGCAAAGCGAUUCAUUUAUUAACUUCCGAUAGUGUUUGUUAAAAGGCAGUCCAUAAGAACGAAGGGCUCACAAUCGUGGCCAGUUCCCUCUUUGUGAUGCAGAACGGGUGCAUGUUCUUAAAGGCAGAAAACACUGAGGCCAAGUAUACAAUAUGUGGAAAAACAGAUACGGUGUGAUGAGUUUAAUAUUAAAUUAAUUGGAUACCUUCUUUUGCUCGAACUAUGCUUGUGCUGUCCAGUAAAAUACCAUUUUCUUCAACAGAAUCCACCACCUCCACCUCCACCUCCACCUCCACCUCCACAGCCACCGCCGCCGCCACCACCA